RNAcentral lists this transfer RNA (68 nucleotides) under Dorea sp. 42_8. Its description in RNAcentral is "tRNA-Val". It matches the Rfam family "tRNA", at positions 10 to 71 of the family's 71-position model. From Rfam's summary of the family: Transfer RNA (tRNA) molecules are approximately 80 nucleotides in length. Their secondary structure includes four short double-helical elements and three loops (D, anti-codon, and T loops). The record is from RNAcentral. Lineage: Bacteria; Bacillati; Bacillota; Clostridia; Lachnospirales; Lachnospiraceae.
GAGUCUCUUCUGGGUCGCUUAUCUGCCUUACAAGCAGAGGGUCAUAGGUUCGAGCCCUAUUGGUCCCA